This 253-nucleotide ribosomal RNA is filed under the name uncultured bacterium. RNAcentral's name for it is "partial 16S ribosomal RNA". It matches the Rfam family "Bacterial small subunit ribosomal RNA", at positions 524 to 776 of the family's 1533-position model. The record is from RNAcentral.
UACGUAGGAGGCAAGCGUUGUCCGGAUUUACUGGGCGUAAAGAGCGCGCAGGCGGUCGUUUAAGUCGAAUGUGAAAGCCCCCGGCUCAACUGGGGAGGGUCAUUCGAUACUGAUCGACUUGAAGGCAGGAGAGGGAAGUGGAAUUCCGGGUGUAGUGGUGAAAUGCGUAGAUAUCCGGAGGAACACCAGUGGCGAAGGCGACUUCCUGGCCUGUUCUUGACGCUGAGGCGCGAAAUCUGGGGGAGCAAACGGG